AGCAGCCGCGGUAAUUCCAGCUCCAAUAGCGUAUAUUAAAGUUGUUGCAGUUAAAAAGCUCGUAGUUGAACCUCGGGGUCUACCCAUUGGUCAGGCUUAAUUGUCUGCACUGGUGAGAUGGAUCUCUACCUUCUGAGGAACUUUCAUGCCAUUUAUUUGGUGUGAUGGGAAAUCAGGACUGUUACUUUGAAAAAAUUAGAGUGUUUAAAGCAGACUAUCGUCUGAAUACAUUAGCAUGGAAUAAUGAAAUAGGACGGACUGAUUCUAUUUCGUUGGUUUCUAGGAUCACCGUAAUGAUUAAUAGGGAUAGUUGGGGGCAUUAGUAUUCAAUUGUCAGAGGUGAAAUUCUUGGAUUUAUUGAAGACUAACUACUGCGAAAGCAUUUGCCAAGGAUGUUUUCAUUAAUCAAGAACGAAAGUUAGGGGAUCGAAGACGAUCAGAUACCGUCGUAGUCUUAACCAUAAACUAUGCCGACUAGGGAUCGGACGAAGUUAAUUUUAUAAUGACGCGUUCGGCACCU
RNAcentral lists this unclassified non-coding RNA (520 nucleotides) under uncultured Diversispora. RNAcentral's name for it is "SSU rRNA". It matches the Rfam family "Eukaryotic small subunit ribosomal RNA", at positions 569 to 1088 of the family's 1831-position model. Lineage: Eukaryota; Fungi; Glomeromycota; Glomeromycetes; Diversisporales; Diversisporaceae. The record is from RNAcentral.